RNAcentral lists this ribosomal RNA (251 nucleotides) under uncultured prokaryote. RNAcentral describes it as "partial 16S ribosomal RNA". It matches the Rfam family "Bacterial small subunit ribosomal RNA", at positions 525 to 775 of the family's 1533-position model. The record is from RNAcentral.
ACGAAGGGGGCUAGCGUUGUUCGGAAUCACUGGGCGUAAAGCGCACGUAGGCGGAUUUGCCAGUCAGGGGUGAAAUCCCGGGGCUCAACCUCGGAACUGCCCUUGAUACAGCAAAUCUCGAGUCCGGAAGAGGUGAGUGGAAUUCCUAGUGUAGAGGUGAAAUUCGUAGAUAUUAGGAAGAACACCAGUGGCGAAGGCGGCUCACUGGUCCGGCACUGACGCUGAGGUGCGAAAGCGUGGGGAGCAAACAG